GAUGAAGAACACAGCGAAAUGCGAUAAGUAAUGUGAAUUGCAGAAUUCAGUGAAUCAUCGAAUCUUUGAACGCACAUUGCGCCCCCCAGUAUUCUGGCGGGCAUGCCUGUUCGAGCGUCAUUUCAACCAUCAAGCCCUGCUUGUGUUGGGGUCCUGCGGCUGCCCGCAGGCCCUGAAAACCAGUGGCGGGCUCGCUAGUCACACCGAGCGCAGUAGCACAUCUCGCUCAGGGCGUGCGGCGGGCUCCAGCCGUUAAAGCACCCACCUUUCGCAAGGUUGACCUCGGAUCAGGUAGGAAUACCCGCUGAACUUAAGCAUAUCAAUAAGCGGAGGA
This 334-nucleotide unclassified non-coding RNA is filed under the name soil metagenome. Its description in RNAcentral is "partial contains 5.8S ribosomal RNA, internal transcribed spacer 2, and large subunit ribosomal RNA". The stretch from base 1 to 120 matches the Rfam family "5.8S ribosomal RNA", at positions 35 to 154 of the family's 154-position model. The record is from RNAcentral.